Molecule: long non-coding RNA, 2296 nt
Organism: Pseudoliparis swirei
Lineage: Eukaryota; Metazoa; Chordata; Actinopteri; Perciformes; Liparidae
Exons: 4
Source: RefSeq, a predicted model, not a curated record
UGAGGAGCAGAAGAAGAGUGCUGCGUUUGUUUGGUGUCUGUUAGCCGCUCCUUAGAAAACCGGACCGUGCACAUGAGAGCGAGGAGGAGGCGGCAGCAGCAGCAGCAGCAGCUCUCUAGCGAGGACACGAGACAUCCGGAAGAAGUCGCGUCCCCAUUUUCAUCUUCCUUUCUUCUUUGGGAGCAACGAGUCGUAGUACGUGUAGCCUCUGCUAGCUAAACAAGGUUGUCUCCUGGGCAGACCGCGGCGAACACGUGGAGUGCAGCAGCCCUGGCCGGUGGGAUGGUGGGAUGGACACUUGUUCUUAUUGAGAGGUUGAAGCAUACAGCCUGUGAGGAGGAACACACACGGGUAUCUUCUACCAAGCGUGGUAUGCUGCAAACACAAGAGAAAUUUGAACUCUAGUCUUUUGUAGGCCUACAACGUCGUCCUUUUGAAAACCAGAACGACCGCAGUGCCAAUGGAUAAACAUCUCAAAAGCGCGCCUGCUGACUUUGACAUGACGAUGGACACCACAGUUUCCAGACAACCAAUCACAACAAAGCAUUUCCAUUCCUCCAUUUUAAACAAUUAAAUUGUUGAUGGUGACUGUAUGCUUAGUUGCACAGGAAAUGAAGAGAAGAAGCACAACAUUUAGAAAUUGUUAUGCCAUUUUUGAUUUAUAUUUAUUUUCAUCUCGAGAAGAACUAUCCUAACUUGUAAGACUAAUCAAUGAUCAUGUUCCUGUAUCCAUAUCUUCUUUAUGAAUAUCUCCUUGUCUGGUCCAAAGGGGUUGAGUCUGUUGCAUAACAUAGUUUCUGCUGUAAUUCAGGCCUCAUGGAGCAAGUUGUUGUGUAUCUACUGUGUGUCAAUGUACCAUUAAUGCAGUGCAAUUAAUCUUGUUUACAUUGCAUCUUUUACUAAAUGUCUUAGUAUGCGAUGCUAAAAAAAAAAAAAAAUCAAGAAUUAUGUUUCACUUCCUGAAAUUAGUGGGCUGUGAAUUUAGAGGAUUAAGUGGUGAUUGCUUUGGGGGGGAAAGUGCUUUUACAUUGUUUUCGUUCUCACUGAGAGAAUAUACUUUUUUUUUCAUUACUUAUAAUAAAAAUUCCCAUUGAGAAAAUGUGUGUUCAUUGUUCAUGUUGAGACGGAAGAAAAAUGAGUGAGACUAUACGUUCUCUAAACACUCAGAUGAUGUACACAUUACAUCUAUUGCACCUGUCCAUCCUGGAGAGGGAUCCUUCUCUGUUCUCUCCUGUAGGGUUCUUCCCUUUUUCCCCCUGAAGGGUUAUUUGGGAGUUUUUCCUGAUCCGAUGCGAGGUUUUGGGGCAGGGAUGUCUAUGUACAGCUUGUAAAGCACUCUGAGACAAAUUUGUGAAAUUGGGCUAUACAAAUAAACUGAAUUGAAAUAAAAGAAUGUUUAGAAGUAGUGAAGACAGCAAAACUAUUUCAUUGAGAAUCAAUUCAUCAGUUUGAUGUGCAAGUGGUUAUUGUGCAAAUUGUAGACCAUUUAACUUACUCUUUGCACAGAACACGUGCAAUUAGUUUGAAAUAAUGAGAUAAUAAAAUCAGUUGUCAACAAAAAACUAAUUGUAAAACUUGCAAAUGGGAAAAACUAAUAUUUUUUUCCUGAACAUAAGCCUGUGAAAGAAUUGUAUUUGAGAAACUGUAUUUUGCAUUAGAAACCAUGCAUGAAAACCCUGACGUCAGCUUUAUUAUGAAUAUUUACUGCAUGAUUUUUUUUUGUGAUCAAAUCUUUUAUUGGUUUUCGAGAUAUGCACAUGCAAAGGGAAAGAUGUACUGUACGUAUACAAAAGUACUCAGCCAAAAACUAAAUAAAAAAAGAAUAGAUAUAUAAAUAUGGGUAGACAUGCAAAAACCUGCACAUAUAUAUGCACAUACCUGCAUAUCCUAAUACACAAACACAUAAAUACUGUAAAUGUACCCCCUUCAAACAUCUCCAGCUAUAAGGGGAUGUAUUAUAUUAUUUUACAAUUAUAUAUAUAUAUAUAUUGUUAAAUGUUGCUUAAAGCCGUGGACCAGGAUAAGAUUGUUCCACCAUGUAUUCCGGCUAUUGAAAGUUCCAUAUUCACUAUAUCAAGGUAGCUAGCUAACCACUGGGGUUUCGUAAGAGUGUGCAGGGGACUCCAGCGCAUUGCUAGACAUGAUUAACAAAAAAAGGAUGAUCAUAUGCUGGAAAUAAAGCAUACGGUUCCUCCGACAAAAUAUGUGUCAAAUGUCAAGUUAUUCGAAUCGUCAAAUGUCACAUUUUGUACAACAUGAACAUCUAUUUAAAAUAAAAUGCUUUUCAAUGUCAAAA